This 543-nucleotide ribosomal RNA is filed under the name Vibrio splendidus. RNAcentral describes it as "bacterial SSU rRNA". It matches the Rfam family "Bacterial small subunit ribosomal RNA", at positions 8 to 530 of the family's 1533-position model. Lineage: Bacteria; Pseudomonadati; Pseudomonadota; Gammaproteobacteria; Vibrionales; Vibrionaceae. The record is from RNAcentral.
AGAGUUUGAUCAUGGCUCAGAUUGAACGCUGGCGGCAGGCCUAACACAUGCAAGUCGAGCGGAAACGACACUAUUGAAUCUUCGGAGGAUUURWUGGGCGUCGAGCGGCGGACGGGUGAGUAAUGCCUAGGAAAUUGCCUUGAUGUGGGGGAUAACCAUUGGAAACGAUGGCUAAUACCGCAUAAUGCCUACGGGCCAAAGAGGGGGAYCUUCGGGCCUCUCGCGUCAAGAUAUGCCUAGGUGGGAUUAGCUAGUUGGUGAGGUAAUGGCUCACCAAGGCGACGAUCCCUAGCUGGUCUGAGAGGAUGAUCAGCCACACUGGAACUGAGACACGGUCCAGACUCCUACGGGAGGCAGCAGUGGGGAAUAUUGCACAAUGGGCGAAAGCCUGAUGCAGCCAUGCCGCGUGUAUGAAGAAGGCCUUCGGGUUGUAAAGUACUUUCAGUUGUGAGGAAGGGGGUAACGUUAAUAGCGUUAUCUCUUGACGUUAGCAACAGAAGAAGCACCGGCUAACUCCGUGCCAGCCGCCCGGGUAAUUCAAAA